Molecule: ribosomal RNA, 499 nt
Filed under: uncultured bacterium
Lineage: Bacteria
Description: partial 16S ribosomal RNA
Rfam family: Bacterial small subunit ribosomal RNA
Source: RNAcentral
GAUGAACGCUGGCGGCGUGCCUAAUACAUGCAAGUCGAGCGAACAGACGAGAGUGCUUGCACUCUCUGACGUUAGCGGCGGACGGGUGAGUAACACGUGGGUAACCUACCUAUAAGACUGGGAUAACUUCGGGAAACCGGAGCUAAUACCGGAUAAUAUUUAGCUUCGCAUGAAGCAAUAGUGAAAGACGGUUCUGCUGUCACUUAGAGAUGGACCCGCGGUGUAUUAGCUAGUUGGUGAGGUAACGGCUCACCAAGGCAACGAUACAUAGCCGACCUGAGAGGGUGAUCGGCCACACUGGAACUGAGACACGGCCCAGACUCCUACGGGAGGCAGCAGUAGGGAAUCUUCCGCAAUGGACGAAAGUCUGACGGAGCAAUGCCGCGUGAGUGAAGAAGGUUUUCGGAUCGUAAAACUCUGUUGUAAGGGAAGAACAAGUACGUUAGUAACUGAACGUACCUUGACGGUACCUUAACAGAAAGCCACGGCUAACUACGUG